UGUAUUUUUUCACCGUCGCCGGCGCCAUCUUCCUUUAGUUUCCUCGUACGUAUGAGGAGGGGUCCGAUUCCUGAUGAUGAUGAUGAUGAUGCUGUUCCGAGGAAGGGGAAGGUUGUCACGACAAAACCACCACCUAUCCUUCUGGACGAGCUCAUAGCGGAAAUCCUGCUGAGGAUACCGGCGAGGUCUCUCGUUCGAUUAAGGAACAGCGUCUGCAGUUCAUGGAGAACCCUAAUUUCCAGUUCCCAAUUUGCGAAGGACCACCUUCGACGUUCAAUGGCGG
Non-coding RNA from Arachis ipaensis, 283 nucleotides. NCBI's taxonomy places the organism in Eukaryota, Viridiplantae, Streptophyta, Magnoliopsida, Fabales, Fabaceae. The record is from RefSeq and is a predicted model, not a curated record.